Molecule: ribosomal RNA, 330 nt
Filed under: Triticum aestivum (bread wheat)
Lineage: Eukaryota; Viridiplantae; Streptophyta; Magnoliopsida; Poales; Poaceae
Description: partial small subunit ribosomal RNA
Source: RNAcentral
AUUCAUCCGGUGUUCCAUGUGUCCCAACUGAAGCCUUUCACACCAAGUUAUACUCCAGUGUUCUCUGAACUGCCUGCCGUGGACUUAUCCGCCAUGGACUCCCAACCAGUCGAGAUUUUGGAUCGGAGAAUGAUAAAGAAGGGAGACGCACCAGUGGUUCAGGUUCAUGUGGCAUGGAACACGAAGCCACCGUCGACAACCUGGGAAGACUAUGAGGUUCUUCGUCGGCGCUACCCGCAGGCGAAAAUCUGGGAAGACAGCAACUACGACGAUGGGGCCGUUUCUCAAGGCGGGGAGAAUGUCACAGUGGUGUUGCACACCACCGUGUGA